This 155-nucleotide small nucleolar RNA is filed under the name Genlisea aurea. RNAcentral describes it as "Small nucleolar RNA snoR145". It matches the Rfam family "Small nucleolar RNA snoR145". The record is from Rfam by way of RNAcentral. Lineage: Eukaryota; Viridiplantae; Streptophyta; Magnoliopsida; Lamiales; Lentibulariaceae.
GCGCGAAGGUCCCAGCAGAGAGGGAAGUACUCCGUCGGUGAGACCUCUCUAACGAUCUUGAUUUAAAAUUCCUUCGCAGAUUGAGACUGGCCAAAUCAAAGAGCCCUUUAGAUUUCUUCUUCUUUAUGGGCUUUGAACCCCUUGGCUAUAGGCUG